UACGGGGGGAGCAAGCGUUGUUCGGAUUUACUGGGCGUAAAGGGCGCGUAGGCGGCGCAACAAGUCACUUGUGAAAUCUCCGGGCUUAACCCGGAGCGGCCAAGUGAUACUGUCGUGCUAGAGUGCGGAAGGGGCUACUGGAAUUCUCGGUGUAGCGGUGAAAUGCGUAGAUAUCGCUUGGAACGCCCGCGGCGAAAGCGGAUGACUGGGGUUGUGCCGACGCUGAGACACGAAAGCCAGGGGAGCGAACGGG
RNAcentral lists this ribosomal RNA (253 nucleotides) under uncultured bacterium. RNAcentral describes it as "partial 16S ribosomal RNA". It matches the Rfam family "Bacterial small subunit ribosomal RNA", at positions 524 to 776 of the family's 1533-position model. The record is from RNAcentral.